GACGAACGCUGGCGGCGUGCUUAACACAUGCAAGUCGAACGGAAAGGCCCUGCUUUUGUGGGGUGCUCGAGUGGCGAACGGGUGAGUAACACGUGAGUAACCUGCCCUUGACUUUGGGAUAACUUCAGGAAACUGGGGCUAAUACCGGAUAGGAGCUCCUGCUGCAUGGUGGGGGUUGGAAAGUUUCGGCGGUUGGGGAUGGACUCGCGGCUUAUCAGCUUGUUGGUGGGGUAGUGGCUUACCAAGGCUUUGACGGGUAGCCGGCCUGAGAGGGUGACCGGCCACAUUGGGACUGAGAUACGGCCCCGACUCCUACGGGAGGCAGCAGUGGGGAAUAUUGCACAAUGGGCGGAAGCCUGAUGCAGCAACGCCGCGUGCGGGAUGACGGCCUUCGGGUUGUAAACCGCUUUCGCCUGUGACGAAGCGUGAGUGACGGUAAUGGGUAUAGAAGCACCGGCUAACUACGUG
This 468-nucleotide ribosomal RNA is filed under the name uncultured bacterium. RNAcentral's name for it is "partial 16S ribosomal RNA". It matches the Rfam family "Bacterial small subunit ribosomal RNA", at positions 28 to 507 of the family's 1533-position model. The record is from RNAcentral.